GGUUAAGCGACUAAGCGUACACGGUGGAUGCCCUGGCAGUCAGAGGCGAUGAAGGACGUGCUAAUCUGCGAUAAGCGUCGGUAAGGUGAUAUGAACCGUUAUAACCGGCGAUUUCCGAAUGGGGAAACCCAGUGUGAUUCGUCACACUAUCAUUAACUGAAUCCAUAGGUUAAUGAGGCGAACCGGGGGAACUGAAACAUCUAAGUACCCCGAGGAAAAGAAAUCAACCGAGAUUCCCCCAGUAGCGGCGAGCGAACGGGGAGCAGCCCAGAGCCUGAAUCAGUGUGUGUGUUAGUGGAAGCGUCUGGAAAGGCGUGCGAUACAGGGUGACAGCCCCGUACACAAAAAUGCACAUACUGUGAGCUCGAUGAGUAGGGCGGGACACGUGGUAUCCUGUCUGAAUAUGGGGGGACCAUCCUCCAAGGCUAAAUACUCCUGACUGACCGAUAGUGAACCAGUACCGUGAGGGAAAGGCGAAAAGAACCCCGGCGAGGGGAGUGAAAAAGAACCUGAAACCGUGUACGUACAAGCAGUGGGAGCACGCUUAGGCGUGUGACUGCGUACCUUUUGUAUAAUGGGUCAGCGACUUAUAUUCUGUAGCAAGGUUAACCGAAUAGGGGAGCCGAAGGGAAACCGAGUCUUAACUGGGCGUUAAGUUGCAGGGUAUAGACCCGAAACCCGGUGAUCUAGCCAUGGGCAGGUUGAAGGUUGGGUAACACUAACUGGAGGACCGAACCGACUAAUGUUGAAAAAUUAGCGGAUGACUUGUGGCUGGGGGUGAAAGGCCAAUCAAACCGGGAGAUAGCUGGUUCUCCCCGAAAGCUAUUUAGGUAGCGCCUCGUGAAUUCAUCUCCGGGGGUAGAGCACUGUUUCGGCAAGGGGGUCAUCCCGACUUACCAACCCGAUGCAAACUGCGAAUACCGGAGAAUGUUAUUACGGGAGACACACGGCGGGUGCUAACGUCCGUCGUGAAGAGGGAAACAACCCAGACCGCCAGCUAAGGUCCCAAAGUCAUGGUUAAGUGGGAAACGAUGUGGGAAGGCCCAGACAGCCAGGAUGUUGGCUUAGAAGCAGCCAUCAUUUAAAGAAAGCGUAAUAGCUCACUGGUCGAGUCGGCCUGCGCGGAAGAUGUAACGGGGCUAAACCAUGCACCGAAGCUGCGGCAGCGACGCUUAUGCGUUGUUGGGUAGGGGAGCGUUCUGUAAGCCUGUGAAGGUGUGCUGUGAGGUAUGCUGGAGGUAUCAGAAGUGCGAAUGCUGACAUAAGUAACGAUAAAGCGGGUGAAAAGCCCGCUCGCCGGAAGACCAAGGGUUCCUGUCCAACGUUAAUCGGGGCAGGGUGAGUCGACCCCUAAGGCGAGGCCGAAAGGCGUAGUCGAUGGGAAACAGGUUAAUAUUCCUGUACUUGGUGUUACUGCGAAGGGGGGACGGAGAAGGCUAUGUUGGCCGGGCGACGGUUGUCCCGGUUUAAGCGUGUAGGCUGGUUUUCCAGGCAAAUCCGGAAAAUCAAGGCCGAGGCGUGAUGACGAGGCACUACGGUGCUGAAGCAACAAAUGCCCUGCUUCCAGGAAAAGCCUCUAAGCAUCAGGUAACAUCAAAUCGUACCCCAAACCGACACAGGUGGUCAGGUAGAGAAUACCAAGGCGCUUGAGAGAACUCGGGUGAAGGAACUAGGCAAAAUGGUGCCGUAACUUCGGGAGAAGGCACGCUGAUACGUAGGUGAAGCGACUUGCUCGUGGAGCUGAAAUCAGUCGAAGAUACCAGCUGGCUGCAACUGUUUAUUAAAAACACAGCACUGUGCAAACACGAAAGUGGACGUAUACGGUGUGACGCCUGCCCGGUGCCGGAAGGUUAAUUGAUGGGGUUAGCGCAAGCGAAGCUCUUGAUCGAAGCCCCGGUAAACGGCGGCCGUAACUAUAACGGUCCUAAGGUAGCGAAAUUCCUUGUCGGGUAAGUUCCGACCUG
RNAcentral lists this ribosomal RNA (1964 nucleotides) under Escherichia coli. RNAcentral's name for it is "partial 23S ribosomal RNA". It matches the Rfam family "Bacterial large subunit ribosomal RNA", at positions 1 to 1990 of the family's 2925-position model. The record is from RNAcentral. RNAcentral also lists the same sequence under 2 other names. Lineage: Bacteria; Pseudomonadati; Pseudomonadota; Gammaproteobacteria; Enterobacterales; Enterobacteriaceae.